This is a long non-coding RNA of Sarcophilus harrisii (Tasmanian devil), 3200 nucleotides long. The record is from Ensembl. Lineage: Eukaryota; Metazoa; Chordata; Mammalia; Dasyuromorphia; Dasyuridae.
CUUCUCCUCCUUCUCCUCCUCCUCCUCCUCCCUUCUGCUCCUCCCUCCUCCCUUCUCUGGCUGGGCGAGCCGCCUUCCCCUCCCUUCCCCUCCUCUCCCUCCUCUCGCUUCUCUUUUCUCCACCCCCACCCCAGGCGCGGGUCUGAAGGCAGGAUGCUCCGGAGAGGGAGCGGGGGUCGGCUGCCCCCUCCCCAUUCAUACCCUCUCCUGCCCCCCCACCCCUCCGUCCUCUUCGUUCCCCCUCCCUCUUUAUUUUAGGCAUGCUGGGAAAUGGAGUCUGGGUCCCCGCUCUGACCAAAUCGACCACAGAAAGCUGGGAGAAGGGGGACUACAACCCCCAGGGCGCGGCGCGGGCCGGGACCAAGGAAUCUGGAGCUGAGGUUGGCCAGGUGCCCAGAGUUCUGCAAGCUGGAUUGGACAGAGGAGCGAAUGAGGCACGGGCCCAAGGCCGGGGGCCUCACUGCAACGGAAGGAGAGAAACGUCUCCGCUGGAUCUUGUAAUAAAGUGAACUGAAUGAAGGAAUCCGAGAACAGAUCGGAGAUCGAGUUACACCUCUGUUGUUCUCCUACUGACCUGAAGCUCUUUGUGCCUCAAUUUCCCUUAAAAAAAAAAAAACCCUAAUAUUUUCCACUCUUGCCCUCUUAGAGGUAUUAUGCCUCAAACCCUUUGGAAGAAGGUUGCCUUGACUAAGCAAUCAAGAGGAUAGUUGUUAUCCAAGUAUAAAAGUUUCCCCAACUACCGCUUCUACCCCAACUAUAAAUUCAAUCUCUUUAGCCCCUGAGAACACAGUUCUUGUUUUAUCUGUUCUUGAGAAUCCUCUACACCUGCUCUAUGGAUCUGCCUGCAUUAGGCAUCUCUACUAUAGAUUUUUGAGCUGGAAGGGAUCUUGAAGCCAUGGAUUCUAGCCCCAUCAUUAUACAAUAAUGCUUAUUGUAUAAAGCAAAGUCUACUACUCUCACAGGCAGUUGCUGGUGCAGCACAUAGAUCUCUGGACCUGGACUUAGGAAGUCCUAAAUUCAUACAGCCUCCAAUUUAUUCACAGCUAACGUGAACCUUGGGGAAGCUAGGUGGUGCAGUGGCUAGAGCCCUGAGCUAGGAAUCAGGAAGGUCUCAGUUCAAAUCGGCCCUCAGAUUUGCUAGCUGUGUGAUCCCAGGGCAAGUCACUUAACCCUUAUUUGCCUAGUCCCUCAUCUGUAAAAUGGGGACAUCCUAGAGAAGGAAAUGGCAAACAACUCCAAUAUCAUUUUGGUCUUUGUCAGGACUUAGAUCCUGGGAUCAUGUACAAUCUGAGGUGACUGAUGUGAGACAUUUAACCUGUUUAUCUCACUUUUUUCCUCCUCUGAAAAUGAAGAUGAGAAUAGCACUUAACCUCCCAAAGUUGUUGUGAGAAACAAAUGAGGUGACAUUUGUUUGGUUUUUAAGCACUAGAUAUAACUUCCCCGAAGUAAUCCCAGCAAAUUUAUAAAACACCAGAGCAUUGGACAGAAUUUUAGAGAAUUCAGGGCUCUGCUUCUCAUUCCAACCCCCAUCUUCCCCCCUUCCAGAUACAAAAAAGCCAAGUUAUUCUUUAAGCCAGUUGUCCCAUGGGCACAUCUGCCCCUGACCAUGUGAUUGGUCUGGAAGUGAUUUUCCAUUAUCCUGAGAGAGCCCUGCUCCUAGAUGAAAGUAACUUCUCUAUAGGAGACUAGAGGACAGAGUAAAGCAGCCUCCAUGUGGCUCUUGGGUUGGGUUUUUUUUUUUCCUAUAAACUAGCUGCAGAUAGCAGGAUCCCCUACUUGGGUUUUCCUCUUUACCUGACACCUGCAGUUUCAAACGUUUUCUUUGAAAAUAGUUAGGAAAUAACUUUCUGUGAACUCACACCUACUUCACAAAGCCUUUUGUGCCUUUCUUUCUCUAAGGACCAAGAGAUUAUACAAUUAGAGUAGAAAUUCUUAACCUGGGAUUUGAAAAAUGAAAAUGUCUUUUGAAUAACUUAUUUCAACAUAAUUGGUUUCCUAGAUAAUUCUAUAUAUUUAAUUUUAUGCAUUUUAAAACAUUAAUCAGAGAAGGGGUCUGUAGAUUUUCUCAGAUUGCAAAAGGGGUCUAGGACACACAAAACAUUGAGUUUUAUUGAGCACCCCGUCUGGGCCAGCCUUGUCUCUCAAUGUCUCAUACGCAACCUUGUCACUCGAUGUCAAUCUUGACCUUAACCAAGGUUAAGCCAAUGGCUUGUGCUUAUCUCUACCACUCUUUGGAUGUGCUGUCCUGGCAUUCACGAUAAUGAAAGAUGAGACACGAAUCAAUCCAUUAAAAAGCAUUAAGCACAUACUAGGCAUUAAAUGUUGCGCUGAGUACUGGGAACAAAGAGAAAAAGUGAAACAGUCUUUGGUCUCAGGAUUGUAUUCCAUCAGGAAAUAAUAUGUAGACAUAUAAGUAUAUAAAAAAUGAAUACAAAGUAAUUUCUGCGGGGAGAGAGGAGCUAGCAUUUUGGAAGAUGAGGAAACUCUUCAUGGAGAAGGUGAUACUCUGAGGGACUAGGGAUAAGGGAUUUGGGACUGAGGGAACCUUGGGAUUAUAAGAGGCACGGGUCAGGAGUGAGUGAAUUCCAGGUAUAGGAGAGGGAAGAUGAAGACCAGAAAGAAGGUGAGUCUGGUUGGACCCAAAAAUAUAUAUGGUUAGCGAGCAAUAUGGAAGGCUGGAACUGUAGGUUAGAAAAUUGAUUAUAAAGGCCUUUAAAAGCCAAAAAAGGAGUUUCUAUUUGACCUUAGAAAUAAUAGAAAGUGUUCUGUAAGAAAUGACCAAUAGGAUGAUUUCAGAAAGGCCUGGAGAGACUUACACGAACUGAUGCUGAGUGAAAUGAGCAGGACCAGGAGAUCAUUAUAUACUUCAACAACAAUACUAGAUGAUGACCAGUUCUGAUGGACCUGGCCAUCCUCAGCCAUGAGAUCAACCAAAUCAUUUCCAAUGGAGCAGUAAUGAACUGAACCAGCUAUGCCCAGAAAAAGGACUCUGGGAGAUGACUAAAAACCAUUACAUUGACUUCCCAAUCCCUAUAUUUAUGCCCACCUGCAUUUUUGAUUUCCUUCACAAGCUAAUUGUACAAUAUUUCAGAGUCUGAUUCUUUUUGUAUAGCAAAAUAACGGUUUGGUCAUGUAUACUUAUGUAUCUAAUUUAUAUUUUAAUAUAUUUAACAUCUACUGGUCAUCCUGCCAUCUGGGGG